RNAcentral lists this ribosomal RNA (119 nucleotides) under Triticum dicoccoides. The record is from RNAcentral. Lineage: Eukaryota; Viridiplantae; Streptophyta; Magnoliopsida; Poales; Poaceae.
GGAUGCGAUCAUACCAGCACUAAAGCACCGGAUCCCAUCAGAACUCCGAAGUUAAGCGUUCUUGGGCGAGAGUAGUACUAGGAUGGGUGACCUCUUGGGAAGUCCUCGUGUUGCAUUCC